GUCGGUUGUUCCUUUCCAAUGUGCUGGUUCAUUUGGGUGCUCAUAAUUUGAAAAAAAAUUCAGUAAUGUUGCUGCAAAUUUUAGGAAAAUGUUGCAGACAAAAAAUGAUCUAUAUUGUGGAUCUUUUGAAUCAACCCAUCCUAUUCUCCUAUAUUCUUUGUACAUUAUGCUUGUUUCCGUGAUUAUACCACUUCUUUGUAAACUAUAGUUAUUUUUAAGAC
Molecule: unclassified non-coding RNA, 221 nt
Filed under: Hevea brasiliensis (rubber tree)
Lineage: Eukaryota; Viridiplantae; Streptophyta; Magnoliopsida; Malpighiales; Euphorbiaceae
Source: RNAcentral